AUGAGAGCCCAACAUACGUUAGACCCAGCAGCUCACCAAACAAAAAGAAAGAAAGAACAACCUCUAAACUCAAGGAGUACAAAGCGGACAAAGACUGCAGAGGGAAGAAGAAACGCGAACACAGAGGCUCCUAAACGAUUUAGAAAGUCUAAUGCUGAAGAAGAAGAUAGGGAAUUGAAGCAUGCCAGAAGCGAAACCAACAAAAACAACACUAGAGUCAAUGUUGGAGACAACAACAGUACCAGAACCUCGACAAGUGCUAAUAGCAAGCCAUGGAACUUCGGAAGGCCAACAUACAAAUGCCAAUAUUGCAAAGCAUUGCUGUGGUGCGAAGAAAGAUUAAAUUCAAACAAAGGAACUACGACACCCUCUUUUGGAAUAUGCUGCAAAGAAGGGAAAAUUGAUCUGCGGCCACUAAGAGAACCUCCACCAUACCUUAGAAACCUCUUAAGAAGUGAAGGGCAGGAUUCGGUAAACUUCAAAGAAAAUAUAAGGUCAUACAACUCAAUGUUUUCAUUCACAUCGAUAGGAGGAGCUGUGGACAAGGAAAUAAACACUCGCAAAGGACCUUAA
This 573-nucleotide ribosomal RNA is filed under the name Triticum aestivum (bread wheat). Its description in RNAcentral is "partial small subunit ribosomal RNA". The record is from RNAcentral. Lineage: Eukaryota; Viridiplantae; Streptophyta; Magnoliopsida; Poales; Poaceae.